This 9878-nucleotide long non-coding RNA is filed under the name Capsicum annuum. Its description in RNAcentral is "long non-coding RNA (CANN_LNC006140)". Lineage: Eukaryota; Viridiplantae; Streptophyta; Magnoliopsida; Solanales; Solanaceae. The record is from RNAcentral.
AAAGGGGCACACAGGGAAUAUUUUGGGGGAGGUUUUCUUUCCACUCUAAUAACAACACAGUAACACCCACACAGAGGCUCCCAUUUUUUUUCCAUCUUUGAACACGGCUUCAUGCACGUACACACGCAGAUAACUUACGCACGAAUCACUCCACACAGAGAGAGUAACAUAGAGAGAGAAACGGAGAGAGAGAGUGACGAAAAGGGAGGCAGAGACAAAACAGAAAGGAGGAAGGACGCCAUUUUUGGAGUUUGUUUUCCUUUUCUUUUUAUUUGCUACUCCUCUUCUUCAUACAACUUCUCCCCACACGCACACAAAGGGGAAACGACGGGGAAGGAGGAUGGUGCGGUCGGAUUUCGCUAACAUCAACUCGAAUCGUGGUUGAGUCUAGUUCUGCCUGAUAUUGAGUUGGGCGCGGGUUUUGUUCUGCGGUUCUGUUCUUGGGUCAAUUGUAUUUAGGACUGGAUUUUGUUGAUUGGUCUUCGAUCCGGGGCUGGAAUCGUUCACUUUGAGUCGAGUUGGAGUAUUUCUUCGAGGUUUGCUGGUUUUCAUACUGCUUUUCUGGCGAAUUAAGAUACAAUUUGGUUUUAAUUGGGUUAUUGCGAGUGGUUCGGGUUAUAAUUUUCCAAAUAUCGGGUUGGAGUUCGGUUCAUUAUCGAGGUUUCCGGCGCGGAUUCUCUUUUGUUUCAACAGGAUAACGUUCAUAAAAGUGAAAUUUGAGGUCCAUUUCUUCUCUCGUUCUCUAUCUUUAUCUUGAAUCUCGAUUAUUUUUUGCAUAUGAAUGUCUUUGUGUGCUUGCCAUGCUUGAAUCUUUAUUGUGAAUCUUUAUUGUGUGUAUGGUUGAUGUUGGUUUUGGAUUUUGAAGAGAAAAAUUGAAUCGUUAAUCGAAGAAUGAAUUUAGCGUGUGACUGAGAAUGAAAUUAGGGGGCUUGGAUUAAAAAAUCGAGAAAAGUGAAUGUUGAUUAAUUUUGAUGCAUUGAUGUUUUUGAGCCCAAUAGUGCCAUGUUUCAGGUUGAGAAGGGAUAGGCAAGACGUAGGUCGGGUAGGCAAAUCUAGAGAUUGUGGAUUGAUCGAACGUUUGAGAUGUGUGCUGAAAUGGUUUUGUUUUAUCAUAUUCGACUCAAAUGUGCUAUUUGGCCAGGGAAUGCCUCGAGGUAUUUGUGUUUAUUCACCGGGGAAUGCCCCGAAGUAUUUUGUAUUCGGAGGAUGUCCGUGAUGAAGGCUCGAGGCAUCGGGUAAAGCACGGGAGCGUAAUUUCAGGAUUAGUGUAGGUUAGAAUAGGAUUUAUUUUCGCGCUUUUUUAUAUUUUAGAAUGUAUAAUUGGACUGAACACUAAAUUUUGGAUUUAUUUUGUUUCGUGUGUUUGAUUGAUUGUUUUAUGUGUUUUUGUGGUUUAUACAUCUGCAGUGUCAACUUAGCCGAUAUACACCAUCAAGCGACCGUGGUCGAACCACGGGAUCGAGGGGUGCCUAACACCUUCCCUUCGGUCAACAGAAUUCAUUAGCCGGAAUCUCUGUUCGCAAACCAGUUUAAAGAGUCAAAACGUUUUUGAAAAGGAUCUUUCAAAGGUGACUUGGCACACCUGAUUGUGUCAAGUGGCGACUCUGAGUUUUGAUUGUUAAAAGUCCUUUUCGAAAAAAAUUUUCAUCUUUGUCACUUUAAUAAUAAAAACCCUUUCGAACUUGAAACUUAAUCUUUUCGGAGUUAAAAAAAAAGGGUGUGACAGCUUUAGCGACUCUGCUGGGGAUCUUUUCAAAAUUCGAGCUUAUUUGUGGAGUCGUAUCGGCUUUGUUUGGCAUUAUGGGCAUAUAAACAUUGUUUGUGAUUAUUGUUUGUGCUAUUGUUAUCACUGUUGUGCGUUUUCGUGCUCUUUGUGUACAGUAUUUAUCCUAUAUGUUACCGCUUUUAUAUCUGGCAUCAUGUGUCUACCCCCAGGCCUUCUUUCUGCAACAAGUCCGUAGUACACGGGUUGUACACGACCUCUAGUUGAGUCACCCUUAUUUUAGGGGGGGAGCCGUUGGUGUUAUGGAGUAGGUGAAAAACAAAGCAGCCACUAUCGACCAUAUGGUCCCUCGAACAGCCUUGUUAGUGAACCACAACGUAGGUCAGCCUUUAGGUCAUGCUUAUGUGCAUCAUACUGAGACCUAGCGGGACCCACAUGGCCCUUUGUAGGAGACUCACCUCUAAAGCAUCCUUACGUGCUAAAUGUUGCAUCUUUGAGGAUAACGUGGUCAUUUGACGGACUGAUUUGGGAAAAACAUGUGUUAGAAGUACAGUUUGUGGGUAAUGAAAUAAAAAAAUAAGAAAAAAAAAGAGUUUCGUAGUUUUUAGAGUUUUUUUUAUGGCUUUUAUUUUUCACAAUUCCAAAAUUCAAAAGGACUUUUUUACCUUUCGCACUCAUUUUCUCAAAAAACAUCAAAAAGAUUUUCCUUUGUCUCGUUUAGCAUGCAUUCACAAUUCGAAAACUUCAAAAAGAUUUUUCAUUCGUAGGAUGUUUAUAAAAGAAAAAUGCAAAAAAAAGAUGUUAGAACUUUUUUACAUUUCGUAUAACGAAAAUACCAAAAAGAUUUUUCUUUUAUAGUUGUUGAUGUCAUUUUUCUGUGAAGUAUCAAAAUGAAAACUCAAAAGAUUUUAUUAACAUGGUUCAUCGUCUGUCUUUGGUCGUAUCUCUUACGUUAGGGUCUAGCCUGUCAUUUAAUCAUUAAUUGUUCAAUUUGGAUGAACUACGCACCCCUGAUUCUCCUCUUUCGGGAGUGAGAUAUGUAGGCAGCCUAUUGUUGGUUCGGGGAUCUUAUUUAAAAAAUCCAAAAAAAAAAAAAUUCUUCACUUUUCAUCUAGAGUAGGUGUUUCAUACAUGUCUUGAAAAUUAAAAUACAAAAAAAAAUCCUUAAUAGUCGUAGGUUUUAUUUUUGGUUGAUCUUAUUCCAAAAAAUUUAAAAAAAAAGAUUCCUUCACUCUUUAUUUAGAGUAGGUGUUUCAUAUACAUCUUCAAAAGAAAACUACAAAAAGAUUUUCCUUUAAUAGUUUCAAGUUUCAUUUUAUAUGAAAUUCAAAAUUGAAAAACCCAAAAGAUUUUUCUUUGGUAAUCAUAUAUUUUGUUUUGUAUAGGUAUUUUAAAAGUAAAAAAUGCAAAAAGAUUUUCGUCAAUUCUUUUAACAAAUUGUUAUUUUCUUUUCUUCUUAAAGUUUCAAGGAAAAUAAUGAAAAAAGAGUUUAACUGGCCAUUUUGGCAAGACUUCACGAACUACGCACACCUGAUUCUCCCCUUUCAGGGUGAGAUACGUAGGCGACCUUCUAGGGUUCGGUGUGAUUUUUUUUCAAAAAAAAAAAAGAGGUUUUGAAAAAUCGUUGAACUCUAACACAUUUGCUAUCUCUUGUCGAGUUAGUUUAAGGUGGUUGGUUUGUGACAUUUUAGCUGGUCCUCCAUAUUGCUCCAAGUUACAGAUGAAGUUAUGGUCAACAGGGAUACCGAGUUAGUUGUCACUAAUUAGAUAGGGAGUUCGGGGAAUGAGAAUGUAGGAGAUAAUAAAGAGAUUCGGAAAUUAAGGCGGCAAAUAAUAGAAAUGCAUCAAGCUUGGGCUAAUGGGUUGCUGCAUCCUCCAGUGCCCACUGAUAAUCUGGAAUAUCUUCCUAACUUGCCUCCCGUGUCACAUGCAUAAUUUCCCAUUUUUGUUGAUAUGCCACAACAUGCAUCAGGAUCGACUCCGGGGCAACAAUAUCCAACCACUUCUAAUGUUCAUUUCCUCACUCCCCAAUCCAAGACUACCACAUACUCAGCUCCAGAUGUUGUUCAUGCUUUUGCUGCGCCACCCCCACCUCCUACUUUUGAUGUUCAUCCACAAGUUGUUUCUCCUUACUCUACAAGAGAGCCUGCAUUGAAUAUUUUUAGUGAUCAUCAUUAUGCUCUCGAGCCUACAUUUAAGUCGACUGGUCCUUACGAUUGCCCUCAACCGCCUGAAUUUCCUCCUAACACUAAGAAGCCUGUUAUGACAGAAGAACAAAAGGAAAUAGCCAAAGAAUUGAGAAGUUUGAAACUGACCAUGAAAAACUUGCAAGGACUUGGGGGGUACAAAAGUGUCUCAUAUAAAGAUCUGUGCAUGUUUCCUGGUGUACAUCUUCCUCUUAGUUUUAAAAUUCCGAAGUUUGAGAAGUAUUAUGGACAUGGAAAUCUUGUAGCACAUUUGAGACGCUAUUGCAACCAGCUAAGGGGCGCUGGAGGGAAGGAAGAAUUACUCAUGGCAUAUUUCGGUGAGAGUCUUUCAGGUCUAGCUUCAAAAUGGUUUGUUGACCAAGACAUUGACAAAUGGAUUAGUUGGGAUGACCUAGCUAACAAAUUUGUGCAACAAUUUCAAUACAAUGUGGAGUUGAUCCCUGACGAAAAAUCCCUAACUAGUAUAACAAAGAAGAAUACUGAGAGUUUCAGGGAGUAUGCGAUCAAAUGGUGCGAACAAGCUGCUAGAGUAAAACCGCCAAUGAAAGAAAGCAAAAUAGUGGAGGUGUUUAUUCAAGCGCAGGACGAAACAUAUUAUCAACACUUGUUACCUGCAUUAGGCAAGUCGUUCAUUGAGGUCCAUAAAAUGGGGGAGAUGAUAGAAGAGGGAAUUAAGACUGGUGGCAUUGUGAGUUUUGCAACAUUGAAAGCGACUACUCAAGUAAUUCAAAAGGGUUCAGGAAGUAUUGGGGAGAAAAAAAAUGAGGAAGAUGCAUCUGCAAUUAUAGUUGGACAGCAAGAAAGGUCAAGAAGACCACGUCGUCGUCGAUCUCAGGCUCAAGCUCAAGUUUAUGCCCAGGCUCUACAUAAUCACUUCCAAAAUCCAUUAUACUCUGUUCCUCCACAUCCAUAUCCAGUGUAUAAUGCACAACCACAUGUUCAACCCUCAUCUUACCCACAAUGGCAUACCCCAACGCCCCAGAGUCAUCCUCUAACUCCACAAACAUACCAAAACCCUUCUAAGCCAGAUUUUCUAUCCAAGACAAACAAUGAAAUGAGGCAGAAGUCGAGAGAUAGCUUUACACCAAUUGGAGAGUCAUAUGCCAGUUAAUUUCAGAGAUUGGUACAGGAAGGAAUGGUCACUCCUCUCCUUAGGCACACCCUUAAUCGGCGUUCAAGAAAUUUUGAUCCUAACGCACGAUGUGCGUAUCAUUCUGAGGCUCAGGGUCAUAGUAUUGAAGAUUGUUAUACGUUGAAAAGAGAAAUUGAAAAGAUGAUUCAAGAUAAAUCAAUCAUGAUACAGAACAUUGACAGUGAGGAAAACUCUAGUCAUGACGAUAUGCAAACCAGUGGCUAAGAUGCCAGGCUGAGCAAUUGAGAAGUCACCCCUCUCCUUACUAGGAAGGGGUCUGGUAGCUUGUUUUGUUUUAUUUUCUACUGUCCGAAUUAUUUCAGGGUUGUAGUUCGGGAUCUAUCUUGUUUUGUCCUUUUGUCGUUUAUGUUCAAACCCUUCUAUCUUUUGUUUCAACUAAAUGAAGUGUCCCAUUUUUCUUUGUUUUAAUUAUGUGUUAUUUGUUUAUUUUCUUUAUACAGUACAUUUUAUGUUGACUCUAGUGAUAUGACAUGCUUGCGGAAUUUUCAGCCAAAUCUUAAAGUCCAAUUUAACCAUGACAUAUUAAAUCAGAGGGUUAAGGUGAGAAAAAGCAUUUGAGAAAAAUUUAUAGAGUGUUGACACAUUUGGUAACCAUAUUGAAGCCUUCUUUCAAAAUUAAAGCAAUUAUUUUGAGAAUCACAAGAAUAACUUGGUCAUCAAUUGAAAAACAAAGCUCAAUUAGGUCAAAUAGCGCAUGUGUGCUCCUGAGGAGCAGAACAAAAAUCAACUCCACGAAAGCAUGAGUCAUUCAAUGUGAGGGAUGUACAAUAAAGAUGGAGUUGUAUGUUCGACAAGUGUAAAAGAAGAGGUGACACAUAUGCUCGUGGCAAGUUAGUGUUGUAAAAUAUAUCAUAAGUGAUAUUGAUUGUGUACUUUCACAUUGCAUGUUAUGUACUAGCAUCUUCAAGGAUUGUAUGACGAAUGCAUUUCAUUCUGCUAUCCAUAAAUUGUGUUAUCCUUUGUGUACCCCAUUUGAGCCUUAGUUUUAUUUUCUUUCAUACCCCUCUUUUGGGAUCAAGAUACAGUCAACAAAGUUCAAAAGAUAAGUGUCGACCAAAAGAAUAGAGUCAAAAGUUUCCAAAAAAAAAGUGUCAAAAGGAAGGAAAAGAAAAAGUGUCAAGUAAAAUAGAGUGAAAAAAAAGAAAAGAAAUCAGAAUCAAGCAAAAGAAAAAGCUGCCAGAACUACGCAUGACCUGAUUCUCCUCUCUCGGAGGUGAGAUACGUAGGCUGUCCUACUAAGGUCUCGGUCCAACCAAAUAAAUAAUUUAGAAUCACCCAGUCAAAAGAAACUGGGGCAUGAGUUAAUCCUCAUUGUUUGAGUCGACUUCAAAAGUUGUAAGUCCUAACCCACUUCAAGUGUCGUUUGGGCCUCACGCCAUCCUUUCUUUCUAACCUUAUCCAAAAGUCAAGUUACAACCAAAGAAAAUACUUUCAGAUCAAUCUUUGGGGAUAUUAAGGCAAAACAUGCAAGGGAUAUGAUGAUGUAUUUGGGAACUACCUGUCUUCCUCAGCACAAGAAAUUAAGAGAGAAAUAAAAAUGAGAGAGUCUUAUUGGUGAAAAUCCUCACGGGCACCGUAAGGCGAUAGUAAGUUGAGAGAGAGAAAAAUGAGAGAGUCUUAUUAGUGAAAACCCUCACGGGCACCGUGAGACGAUUGUGAGUUGGGAGAAAUGAGAAUAAGAGAGUCUCAUUAAUAAAAACCCUCACAGACACCAUAAGACAAGGGUGAGCUGAGGGAAAGACCCUUCAAAACGUCACUAGCCGAAUGAGGUCUGAAUGCAAUUNNNNNNNNNNNNNNNNNNNNNNNNNNNNNNNNNNNNNNNNNNNNNNNNNNNNNNNNNNNNNNNNNNNNNNNNNNNNNNNNNNNNNNNNNNNNNNNNNNNNNNNAGCUUAAUCCAAAAUGCAUGGCAUAAUCAUUAGAGUUGACUGUCAUUUUUAGAAAAUUUGUCAUUUCUUUGUUUCAAAAGGGGACACUCAUUGUCUUUUCUUUCUUCUCUUUAUUUUAUUUUGUUUUCUUGAGUUAGUGGUCCAAAUAAAAGUCAUUGUCAUUUUUCUCUUAUUUUUGAGUCAAGUCCAUAUCAAAACAAGUGAGAAAAAAUUUUAAAACUGGCCACCAGCUUCUUCAAUUGCACAAUGCAAGACAAAGUCAGCAUAUGAAAGAGAAAUAAUUGUGAGCUGAAGAAGGCAUGCAGAAAGCUAUCAACAGACAAGCUGGGGAACUUAUGAAAAUACCAAGGUUUGAAGGAUUUAUCUAAGAAGCAUGACAAAGCAGAGAUACUGUGGUUAUUUUGGAGUCACUCUUAAUGAUCUGAGUUUGGAUCAAUGACAUGACAAAGUAGGGGCAAAUGUCAGCAAUCUGAAACAAAAUGAAGGGAAUGAACACUAGAGCAAAUGCCUGGAAAGCCAAGUGUUGCAAGCUACCACUAAGUUUUUAACUGACAAAUUUUCUUUGUUGAAAUAGGGGCAGAUUCGCUUCACUUAAUGCAGCUACCAUUGGAAAUGCACAUCUGUGAGACUUUACUUUAUGUUCAGGACCCUCCUGAAAAAUGGAAUUUUACUUUCUGUUCAGAACCCUCCUGAAAAAUGGGAUUCUACUUUAUGCUCAGGACCCUACUGAAUAAUGGGAUUUUACUUUCUGGUCAGGACCCUCCUGAAGAAUGGGAAUUUACUUUUAGUUCAGGACCCUCCUGAAAAAUGGGAUUUUACUUUAUGUUNNNNNNNNNNNNNNNNNNNNNNNNNNNNNNNNNNNNNNNNNNNNNNNNNNNNNNNNNNNNNNNNNNNNNNNNNNNNNNNNNNNNNNNNNNNNNNNNNNNNNNNNNNNNNNNNNNNNNNNNNNNNNNNNNNNNNNNNNNNNNNNNNNNNNNNNNNNNNNNNNNNNNNNNNNNNNNNNNNNNNNNNNNNNNNNNNNNNNNNNNNNNNNNNNNNNNNNNNNNNNNNNNNNNNNNNNNNNNNNNNNNNNNNNNNNNNNNNNNNNNNCUUUAUACUCAGAACCCUCCUGAAAAAUAGGAUUUUACUUUCUAUUCAGGACCCUCCUGAAGAAUGGAAAUUUACUUUCAGUUCAGGACCCUCCUGAAAAAUGGGAUUUUACUUUAUGUUCAGGACCCUCCUGAAGAAUGGGAAUUUACUUUCAGUUCAGGACCCUCCUGAAAAAUAGGAUUUUACUUUAUGUUCAGGACCCUCCUGAAAAAUGGAAGUUUACUUCAUGUUCAAGACCCUCUUGAAGAAUAGGACUUUACUUUAUAUUCAAGUCCCUCCUGAAAAAUGGGAUUUUACUUUUCGUUUAGGACCCUCCUGAAAAAUGGGAGUUACUUUCUAUUCAGGACCCUCCUGAAAAAUGAGAUUUUACUUUCUGUUCAGGAUCCUUUUGAAAAAUGAGAUUUUACUUUCUGUUUGGAUUCCUCUUGAAAAAUGGGACCACGCUUUCAAAAAUGAAAUACUACCUUAUGAUAAUCCUGGUGUGGGAAAUUCGAGCAACAUUUGUAAGAAGACGCGCUUCCUUGUUUGGCUAAUUCCAACAAUAUUUAUAAGGGGACACACUUCCUUGUUUUGACAAUUCAAGCAAUAUUUGUAAGGAGACACACUUUCUUAUUUUGGUAAUUCAAGCGCUAUCAUAAGGAGACGCACUUCCAAAGGAGACACACUUCCUUGUUUGGUAAUUCGAUCGUCAUUUGUAAGGAGACGCACUUCCUUGUUCGGGUAAUUCCAUCAACAUUUGUAAGGAGAUGCACUUUCUUGUUUGGGUAAUUUAAGCAACAUUUGUAAGGAGACACACUUUCUUGUUGAGUAAUUCAAGCAACAUUUGUAAGGAGACGCACUUCCUUGUUUGGUAAUUCUAGCAACAUUUGUAAGGAGACGCACUUUCUUGUUAGGUAAUUCAAGUGACAUUUGUAAGGAGAUGCACUUCCUUGUUUGGGUAAUUCAAGCGGCAUUUGAUAAGGAGACACACUUCCUUGUUUGGGGUAAUUCAAGCAACAUUUGUAAGGAGACGCACUUCCUAGCUUGGGCAAUUCAAGAAACAUUUGUAAGGAGACUUCCUUGUUUAAGUAAUUCAAGAGGCAUUGGUAAGGAAAUGCACUUCCUUGUUUUGAUAAUUCAAGCAACAUUGGUGAGGCACUUUCUAACUUAAGUCUUGAUUCCUAGAAGAUCCACUUUCUCUUUGACUUAUUGCACUUAAUACUUAGGAGACACACUUCCUUGCUAGUUUUCAUUUUUCAGGUGACACACUUUUAACUGAAACUUGUAUCUCUAGAAGACGCACUUUCUAGUUAGAAUCCCUCACUUUAAUUCUUAGGAGCUGCACUUCCUAGUCUUGGUUAUUUAAUUUUACUCUUAAGAGACGCAUUUCUUAGUCAGAGUCUUGAUUCAUCAUUGCAACAUGCAAGUAGGUAUGAUGUGACUUUUCCAAAAGUCUUCUGAUGAUAAACUGGGGUAAAAAUUCAAUUUCUGUUUUUGAAACUUUACUUUUCUGGCAAAUAAAUGGAAUUUCUUUUUAUAAUAAUAUUUGUUUGGGAUAAUUUUCUUUUUAGUUUUGAUGUGAUUUCAGGAGCCUGCCCGAAGCACAGGACGAAUAAAUGGAAAACUAAGCAACAAGGUGAAGAAAUUGAAAGUUGAACAGAUUGAAAAAUAGCAAGUCAGGAGCCCGCCUGCAGAACAGGGUGAAGAAGUUGAAAGCAUAGCAACAAGUUGAUGAAAUAGCAAGUCAGGAACUCGCCUGGAGAACAGGGUGAAGAAAUUGAAAGACAAGCAACAAGUUAAAGAAAUAGCAAGUCAGGAGCCCGCCUGAAGAAUAGGGUGAU